ACUCCUACGGGAGGCAGCAGUGGGGAAUAUUGCACAAUGGGCGCAAGCCUGAUGCAGCCAUGCCGCGUGUAUGAAGAAGGCCUUCGGGUUGUAAAGUACUUUCAGCAGUGAGGAAGGUGGGUAUGUUAAUAGCAUAUUCAUUUGACGUUAGCUGACAGAAGAAGCGAACCGGCCUAACUCCGUGCCAGCAGCCGGCGGUAAUACGGAGGGUGCUAGCGUUAAUCGGAAUUACUGGGCGUAAAGCGCAUGCAGGUGGUUUGUUAAGUCAGAUGUGAAAGCCCGGGGCUCAACCUCGGAAUUGCAUUUGAAACUGGCAAACUAGAGUGCUGUAGAGGGGGGUAGAAUUUCAGGUGUAGCGGUGAAAUGCGUAGAGAUCUGAAGGAAUACCGGUGGCGAAGGCGGCCCCCUGGACAGAUACUGACACUCAGAUGCGAAAGCGUGGGGAGCAAACAGGAUUAGAUACCCUGGUAGGAUAGCGU
This 479-nucleotide ribosomal RNA is filed under the name uncultured bacterium. RNAcentral describes it as "bacterial SSU rRNA". It matches the Rfam family "Bacterial small subunit ribosomal RNA", at positions 335 to 800 of the family's 1533-position model. The record is from RNAcentral.